Molecule: long non-coding RNA, 200 nt
Filed under: Manihot esculenta (cassava)
Lineage: Eukaryota; Viridiplantae; Streptophyta; Magnoliopsida; Malpighiales; Euphorbiaceae
Description: long non-coding RNA (MESC_LNC004420)
Source: RNAcentral
CUGGUUGGAAACAUGAGAGAAAAUAAAAGAAUAUAAUAGAGUAGAAGGAAAAUAAUAGAAAAGAAAAGAAAAUGGGAGAAAAAGGAAAGGAAAUAGGUAAGAAGAAAACAAGGGAAUGAGAAAAUAAAAGGUUGACUGAACAAUAAAGACCCAAUAUUUGUAUUUUAAUUAAAAAUUUUCAAUUUUCAAUUUAUGUUCCA